AUUGAACGCUGGCGGCAUGCUUUACACAUGCAAGUCGAACGGUAACAGGUCUUUCGGGAUGCUGACGGGUGGCGAACGGGUGAGUAAUGUAUCGGAACGUGCCCAGUAGUGGGGGAUAACUACUCGAAAGAGUGGCUAAUACCGCAUGAGAUCUCUGGAUGAAAGCGGGGGACCGUAAGGCCUCGCGCUACUGGAGCGGCCGAUAUCAGAUUAGGUUGUUGGUGAGGUAAAGGCUCACCAAGCCGACGAUCUGUAGCUGGUCUGAGAGGACGACCAGCCACACUGGGACUGAGACACGGCCCAGACUCCUACGGGAGGCAGCAGUGGGGAAUUUUGGACAAUGGGCGCAAGCCUGAUCCAGCAAUGCCGCGUGCAGGACGAAGGCCUUCGGGUUGUAAACUGCUUUGUACGGAACGAAAAGCCUUCUUCUAAUACAGGAGGGUCAUGACGGUACCGUAAGAAUAAGCACCGGCUAACUACGUG
Molecule: ribosomal RNA, 483 nt
Filed under: uncultured bacterium
Lineage: Bacteria
Description: bacterial SSU rRNA
Rfam family: Bacterial small subunit ribosomal RNA
Source: RNAcentral